RNAcentral lists this ribosomal RNA (253 nucleotides) under uncultured bacterium. Its description in RNAcentral is "partial 16S ribosomal RNA". It matches the Rfam family "Bacterial small subunit ribosomal RNA", at positions 524 to 776 of the family's 1533-position model. The record is from RNAcentral.
UACGAAGGGGGCUAGCGUUGCUCGGAAUCACUGGGCGUAAAGGGUGCGUAGGCGGGUCUUUAAGUCGGGGGUGAAAUCCUGGAGCUCAACUCCAGAACUGCCUUCGAUACUGAAGAGCUUGAGUCCGGGAGAGGUGAGUGGAACUGCGAGUGUAGAGGUGAAAUUCGUAGAUAUUCGCAAGAACACCAGUGGCGAAGGCGGCUCACUGGCCCGGUACUGACGCUGAGGUGCGAAAGCGUGGGGAGCAAACAGG